GAUGAACGCUAGCGACAGGCUUAACACAUGCAAGUCGAGGGGCAGCGGUCUGGUAGCUUGCUAUCAGAAGUCGGCGACCGGCGCACUGGUGAGUAACACGUAUGCAACCUACCCUUCACAGGGGGAUAAUCCAUAGAAAUGUGGUCUAAUACCGCAUGGUCCUGCAUGAGUGCAUGCUCUGUGCAGGUAAAGUUUUUAACGGUGAAGGAUGGGCAUGCGUCCGAUUAGGUAGUUGGUGAGGUAACGGCUCACCAAGCCGACGAUCGGUAGGGGUUCUGAGAGGAAGGUCCCCCACAUUGGUACUGAGACACGGACCAAACUCCUACGGGAGGCAGCAGUGAGGAAUAUUGGUCAAUGGGCGAGAGCCUGAACCAGCCAAGUCGCGUGAGGGAAGAAUGUCCUAUGGAUUGUAAACCUCUUUUGUUGGGGAGCAACGGUCUCCACGUGUGGAGAUGUGAGCGUACCCAAAGAAAAAGCAUCGGCUAACUCCGUGCC
Molecule: ribosomal RNA, 495 nt
Filed under: uncultured bacterium
Lineage: Bacteria
Description: bacterial SSU rRNA
Rfam family: Bacterial small subunit ribosomal RNA
Source: RNAcentral